GUAGCUCAGAUUCUCAAGAACAGAAAACAAGGUAAAAUGAUGUGCUCAGCAACCUCAUUUCUGCUCCUGGUGACGUUCUGCGGAACGGUGUCCUGUCUUUGGUAUCCGUGGCCUGGCAAAAAAGAAUGUGUAGCCCCUUCGCUGAACAAAGAUGGUGUAACGCCCGCCUUUUGCGGGGGAUUCGCCGGGGCAAAAUGUCCAUCAAAGACGGACACAUGCACUUUUUUUCCGGGGUCGGACUUCGGUCCCUGCUGUGUGGGUUGUGGUCGAUUUGCACCACCUCCCUCUGUCGCCUGCUACAGAGACUGGGAUUGCCGCCUAGGUGAACGCUGCGUGAAACCCGUCAAUAACUGGUGGGCGAAAGGGGUGUGCUGUCUUUGGUAAUGACGGAGGUUACUAACGCAACGUCUUUGACACACCUGUUGUUGUCGAUGGAAAGCUUCUUCGGAGAACCAACGACUUUAUUAACUUAAAUGAAAAUACAUGAAUUAAAGUUUAUAUUUA
This is a long non-coding RNA of Dreissena polymorpha, 504 nucleotides long. RefSeq lists it as uncharacterized. NCBI's taxonomy places the organism in Eukaryota, Metazoa, Mollusca, Bivalvia, Myida, Dreissenidae. The record is from RefSeq and is a predicted model, not a curated record. The transcript has 4 exons.